This 15115-nucleotide long non-coding RNA is filed under the name Lactuca sativa (garden lettuce). RNAcentral's name for it is "long non-coding RNA (LSAT_LNC002301)". Lineage: Eukaryota; Viridiplantae; Streptophyta; Magnoliopsida; Asterales; Asteraceae. The record is from RNAcentral.
GUUUCCCUAUUCCACAUUCCAAAAUCAACAAUCAAACGCACACUCCAGCUCCUACAAUCGACUCCUUCUCCGCUUCCAUUUUUCUCCGAUCGGCCUCAACUACAACUCUACAAAUCGAACCUUCAAUCCGGUGUUGCCUCCACCUUAAUCUUCGUCCGGUUCUGUCGCAGCUGGAUCCGCUCUGCGUCCGCCUCCGAUGCUAAUCGCUACGCCAAUGGUUCACCUACGUUGCUGCUGUCUCGGUCCGUCGUCACUUCUUCCUCCGGCUUCUUCCUUGGUUAACUCUCACUCAACUUACACCAGGUGAUUCGAUUUUUUCAUCUCUUUCUUACUUUAUUGCUAAAUAACAUAGACCCAAUCUGAAACUAAGAUUUGGUUAAACCUUAAACAAAAAUAAGGAUUGAAGGUGUUUGGUGUUGGAACUUUAUUGUUGUUUCAGAUUUUUCAGAAUAUGCUUUGUUUUAGAUUUUAUUAUUAUUAUUAUUAUUAUUAUCAGAUUAUGCAUUUUUUCAGAUAUAUAUGGUGUUGGAAAAUACUGUUUUAGAUAUAAAUCAUCAUUGAAAGUAACCAUCGUGCCUUAUCAUUGCUCCCUUCCUUUUUGUACAUAUAUAGAAAUGAAUUUGGAAUAUUGAAUAUUUGUAAUAAAUGUAACUAUUUAAGCAACAUUAACAACAACUUACAGGUAAUUCAUAGACAACGACAAAUUUGUUCAAAUAAUUUACAGAAAGAUAUGCACAUGGUGGCCCAAAGUUGAAUUGAGAAUAAACCUGAGUCAAGAAAAUCCUAAAAAAAAUCAAGUAGUUACCUCAUAUGUCAUAUAGAAGUUUAUAAACCAUCCCGAAUGUUUGUUUAUCAUCAACUUUCUAAAUUAUGGAUGUUGUGGUGCCUAUAUUUAAGAAAAAUAUAUGCCAAAAUCAAGAAACAUUUGUGCUUAAAUAUAAAAAAACAGUACCAAAACAAAGUCUGGAAACCGGAAAAGCACCGCCACCAUCGCCCUGUUCGAUUUAGGGGCCAGGGAUCGAUUCCAAUGGUUAUUUUUUCUACCUAUGUGUGGACUGAAAGAAAACAAACAUUUAUUAAAUAACUAAAAAAGAAGAACACGAAGAUAGGAGAUAAAUUGCAACUAAUAAGUGCAUACCCACCAAUUAAUGUGUUCUUGAAUAAGAAACUUCUUUGAAGCAUUUCAACAAAUAGGUUAUGUAUAUAAAAAUUUCACCCCUUUGUCUCCCCCAAUGCAACAGCCUGAACCUCCAUUACCAGUUUCAAUUUCAGAUAGCCCUUAAUCAUUUUCCACACCACCAUGAUAAGAGUUGAAUAUAAAGAUUACACAAUAACAUAAAAAUUCUAUUGAAAAUAAGUUCAAAUAUUAACAUAAAUUACAUAACUUAAAGUUGAAUAUAUUAAAAGUAAUAAUACUUACACUAUAGAACAAAUAUAUUAUAAACUGAUAGAUUAUAUGCACAUAUUAAGCAUUAUACACAUAAACAAAAAGAUGAGAUAUGAAUUUGGUUUACACCUUAUUUCCAUUGAAAAUUUUCAAAUUCCAAACUUCAACACAUAGUUAAAGAAAAAAACGUCUACAGCUUUUGUGAAAUACUCUUAGUAAACACAUUUAGAUCUUGUAUACCAAAUUUACAAUGAAGUUCUUUAUUAAUCAUGAUAACAAAAAUAUAGGUAGCCUGGACCUAACAACUUCCCAUUUUGGAAAUUUUCAUGUUAUUGAAAUUACACUCUAAGUUUCUGUUACAACUAAUUUACAAUAAAUAUAAUUGUUUGUUGUUUCAGAUUGAUGAAAUGUUUAAAGGAAAAUCAUCAAUUAUAAAUUACUUAGGUAUCCAAACAUCAUUAGAGUCGAGGAGGCAACAGACUUCUUUUAUGAUACAGCAACCAUCAGAGUAAGAAGCUUGCAAGGAAAUGAUUUGAAGACUAACAUGAUUAUAUCACAUAUCCAACCUUUUUGAGAUGGGAAUGUUGUAAAGCACAAAACUAGAACUUAUCAUUGGUAAAACGUUGUGUGAAUGUAAAAAAGAAUUGUCCUUACAUUUUUCAUUGCAGCUCUUAAUGACCUACUUACAUGCAACACGAAAGAAGGAUAAAAACCGAGAAACUUCACUCAAAUUGAACACAAGUUAAAAAAACUUAGAGAAGAAGAUUGUGAAUUUAUCCCAACACAACAUCUAUAAUGUUGUUCCCGCUCCUUAUUUUCUUAAUACCAUCCAUAAAGUAAUAAAGUGGCGGGGCGGGGUUUAUCAGGAUCAAAAGCCUUUGCAAAACAAAAUUUAGAAUUAAAGUGAAUGAAUUGAGGCACAUAAGGGAGAUGGUUUUCUCUAGUAGAUUAUGGAGUAGAAGAGAAAAGAGGAAAAAUACUCAUGGAAGCUUUUGAAGAGAUUGCGUUCGUGGUCUCGAUAGAGGAAAAGAGGGUCUAAGUUCACCUCCAAACAGGAAAUCGACGAGUAUUCCUUCAGCCGAUUUAGGGCUGGAAACGAUGUCGGAGGUGGGUAGCUAAAGGGGGAGGAGACUGAGUGUGGAUCGACGGUGAUGUGAAGAAAUGGGGAAGUGAGGUGGUUUUAGGGAAUUUUAAUCAGAAGAUAGAAAGAAAAGCGGUGGACAACAAUCCAAUCCCUAUUGGCUUAGAUCAACUCCAACCACAAAACACUAAAAAAUACUAAAAUUGUGACUUUGUAACACUAAAAUGCAGUUUUCACUUCAACCAUACACAAAAAUUUUACAUUAAAAGUAAUAUAUAAAAUAAAAUAAUAAUUAUAAUGGUGUUAAAAAUAGUAAAUAUAAUAAAAUAAUGGAGUUAUAUUGAAAAAGUACAUUUGGUGUUGGGAGAUAGACACACCAAAUAUGGAGGCCACCAAGAGGUUUCACAAAAAUGGUGAUGAUUUUGAAGGUCCAUUAGAAUGGUUUUUAAAAGAUUUGCACCAUUUUAGUGGUCCAUUGGAGUUGCUCUUAGACAGUAGGUUAUGGGGACAUCGGCAACCAUUAAGUGCCAUUGGUAGCUGGAGUCAAUAGAAAUGAGGUUUGCCUCAUAGUUUUUAAAAAGGAAUAAAAAAUAGACCAAUGAACAACAAGAAAGAGGUGUGUAUGAGGCGGUUAGGUUCGGUUAUUGGUCAAAACCGAACCAUAACCAUUACAAUUGGUUAGUGUAUUUUGGUAACCAUUAGGUAGCGGUUAAUAUUGGUUUUGGUUAACGGUUUUAAUCGGUUGAUGGUUAAUAUCGAUUAACCAAAAUGGUCAAUGAUGACAUAAAAAUAAAAAUAAUUUUCUAUUAAAAUUAAAAAACAUAAAGUUCUAUCAUUAUAAAAAAUAAAUGAUUGUGUAUAUAUAAUUGUAUUGAUAUCUAACUCAACUAAUUACCCUUUAAAAUUUCAAGUCCUAAUAUAAUUACAUACCAUAUAUUUAAUAUUAUAUUAUAUUAAAAAUAUUUAUUAAUAUUAUUGGUUCGGUUCGGUUUAUAAUGGUUCAGUUUUAAAUAAAAACCAUAAUUGAACCAUAUGUAUUAAGUUAAUCAAAAUUGGAAACCGAACCAUAUCUUUUAGUAAUGGUUUAGUUAAAAUGGUUCGGUUAUAUGAAUUAAUUUGGUUAUAAUUCAGUUUUUCGGUUAAUAUGUUCACCCCUAGCAAGAAGUUUUCAUAAGAUAACACACAAUUUGUAUAUAUAAAGAACUAGUUUAUAACCCGUGGGAACCACGGUUACAAAAUUAAUUUAACUUUUAUAGUAAAAGUUCAAAGUUAUUAAUCAAUUAUUUUAAAUAAAUUAUUAAUUAUGUGAAAUUAUAAAAUUAUAAUAAUUGAUUUAAAUAAAUAUGUGAAAUUAUAUCACUUUAUAGUUUGUAUUAAUUUUAUUUUAAUUUUUAUUUUAAUUCUAUUAAUUUAAUGUAGAUAGAAUGGAAAAUUUAAAAUUUGAAAUUUAAAAUGAAUAAUCAAUAGGUUGACAAGUGACAAAUAUUAAUUAUGAGACAUAAUAUAGUGACACAUGACAAAAGAAGAAUAAAAUAUGCAUUAAUUAAGAGUUCUAGUAAAAUGACACAUAUCAAAAGGAGAAUAAAACUAUUCUUUUAUUACAAUAGGAAGAUUUUAGAAUUGUAAAAUUUAUAAUGAAUUAAUUUUUAAAUUUUAGUAACCGUAUAUAUUAAUUUUAAAACUAUUAUAACAGUAAAGAUUAUAAUAUUGAUAAAUAUAUAGUAUAUAAAUAAAUAUUAAAUGUUCACAAAAUUUAUUUUUCUUUCUUUAAAAAAUGGCGAUAAACUCCCCAGACAGUUAAAUUUUGGUGUUUCCCAAUUCCCACUUUUCCUCCACCCCCAAGUUGACUCCGCAAAAUCCCUAGGUCUCCGUUUCCAAAAUCCACAGAUCAUGCACAAUCGAAGUCGAAUGUGGACCAUCAUCCCGCCCCUUUGGCCUCCGUUUCUCUUACUAGGCCCGCCGUCGAGCUUGUAGUCCAUAAUCAUUGUCUCUCUACUCAGUCUCAGUCAAGCUUCUAGUUCAUCCCCUUUUUCCUCCGUUUAUCUGCUUUCUGUGACUCUCUCUCAGCCUUCUCUUUUCUACUCCACUCCGGCGGCGAACUACUGGUAACCCACUACGAUUCAGACACCCUUCUUCGUAUUUUCUAUCCAGAGGUAAAUGGCUCGAAACAAGGUAAAGUUCAUCUGAUUUUCUGUUUCUAAAGUAUUUACACUCGCCAAUAUAUCACUUCAGUUCGUAUAACUCUUUGUUGCUAAGCUUUUUAACAUAAAUGUUUGAUGAUGUUAAUUGCAUAUAUGUCUAAUCUCCACUUAAUAUAGUUCAUCUUUUUUUUUUCAAUGGAGUUACUGUUGCUGGUUUGUUAGGGUAAGAAAUAUGAGGAUUAGUUUGUGGAUUUUGUUUACUGAUUUGUAUUUGUUAGCUUAUCGAUGUUCCUUAGAUGAAUGCUAACACCUAUUGUGGUUUAUAUUUAUAUGUGAAACUGAUGUUUAUUGUUUCUAUAAGUCAAAUUACAGAACUAAUAAUAGUUAUGAUGGUUACUCAAAGGAUUUAUCUUACCAAUUUCAAGAUAACAUGAAAGUAAUCCUUUUAUAUGUAUUUAUCAUUAGUCACAGAGCCUUCUUAUUUAUUUUUUGUUUAUUUUUUUUUUCAUACAUUUGUUAGCGCCAACUUAAUUAAUUUAGUUAUAUAUUAUAUUAAUGACACAUACUAUACAUACUAUCCAUACCGCCUUUACCUUCUAGUAAUACCCCUUCAUUAUAUUAACUUUUUCUUUAACUAUCCAUACCCCCUUUACCUUUAGUAAUACCCCUUAAUCAUUAUAACCUUUAGUAAUACCCUUAAUCAUUAUAUUAACUUUUUCUUUAAAUGAUUAAAAUGAUUAAGUAAUAAUUUAAUUCUUUUUGACUAUAAUCAAGUAAUUAUUUGAUAUGCAAAUAAUUGAUUAUCUAUUUAAUCCAUUUAAUAUAUUUUAAAUUUAUAAAAUGUAUUACAUAUAUUAUUUGUAUGUAAACUAUUCAAUCUAUUUAAUAAAACAUUUUUAUAUUUUAAAUUUAUAAAACAAAAAACGUUUGUUAUAUAUUAUUUAUACGCAACUAAUAAAAUUAUUUUAUAUAAAAGAAUUAUAUUUAACACAUUACAAUAAUAAAAUAAUAUUUCAACGCAACGGAUUAUAAAAAAGUUAAAAUAUAUUUGUACUUAAUCAAUAUGUAUCCAAGGUGCUACAGAACUACGAGGCCUAAGUUGAUUGUAUAAUUCAAAACGAGACCAAUACAUAGUUUCCCAUGUAGAUGCCGACAUGCUUCUAUGGGCAUUCUAAUACAUUGUGGUAGGAGGCAUUGGUAAUUUCCUUUCGAAAACCCAACAUAUAAUUGUUGCCAUUUACAUAUGCCAAUGUAAUGGCUUUGUGGGGUUGAAACUUCUCGGGACCUCUCCAAAGAGGGAAACAUGUCGUAGAAUGUUUGUGGCUUAAAUAGUGAACGAUCACACGAAACAUGUUGGAAAUCAGGUAACCAUUAAAAGGCAUAUGCAACCAAUAUCAAGAAGGUGCAGGUGUUUUAAACCAACACAAUGAAUCAUAUACCUUGUUGAACCCGUCAGUAAAAACUAUAUGGUAUGUAUAAUAUUGACUCUCUAACUCUUCAAGCAAUUGUUUUCGAUUAUAAAGCCACUGGUCUUCAUUGUACCCCAGACAAACGGCUACCACUUGAAACCCACAAUUUCCAUCACCUUCUACAUCAUGUAUGUCGUCAAUGUAAUCAUUAAAUAUAUCUGGAAUAUUUCUCAGUUGGAAUGGAUCAUGGCUCGGUGGUUUAUCAGUUAAGUCAGGUUCUUUAUUUAAAUCAAACCCAACAAACUCUGAUGUGGUUGAGAAGUUGUAUUUACUAGGAGGUUGAUUUUGAGGAUUAACUUUAUUUUUUUGAUGUUUCUUCACACUUGGUCGUCCACGAGUGUUUUUUUGAAUUGUAGGUUCUUCGAUGUUAGUUUUUUUGAAUUGUAGGUUCUUGAAGCUUUCUUUAAAAUUUUCAACUAUAUCAUCACACAAAAUAUUGUCGUCUACUACAAAUGUUGUAUCUGAAAUAUCAAGCUUCCCUCAAAAGAUAUCUAUUGAAUCCAAUGGUAUAUCUUCACCUGCAUUGAAAUAUAAAAUAAUUAUUUAUAUAACAUUUUAAAAACUAUCUGUAUGUGGUAGUCGAACGUACGAACCUGAAUUCAAGUAGACAAAAAGUAUGCAAACACGUGGUAACCCACAAUUGUUACGAAGUUUGCAACCACAAUUUGACGAGUCUAAAUUUAGAUCAUUCAACAUUUGAAGCUCUUUUAAUAUUAUAUCUAUAGCUUUGUUCGAAACAAAACCAAGCAGUAACCGGAAGCACUUCAAAUUGUGGUGAUUGUAGCGAUAACAUAUGCUGUUUUCAAAACUUUCGUUGAUCGAAGUUACCUGUGACUGCACAAUUUAAGUAAUCUGUUGCACAAAUAUAUCUAGAUUACAAUUUGAGAAGUCCAAAAUUUUCUUUAACUUGGAAUGGGAGCUCUCAACUCUAUUGGGUGUGCGGUUUCCAAAAUUUAAAUGUUGAUCAACCAAACGUACACAAACAUUCCUUUGUACUUAUUUAACCAUGUAUUCUCUAAGUAUCUCAAAACACUUACGAAGUAAAAUAAAUUAACAAAUAAGUACGUAAAUAGUAAUAUGAAGGUUUUGAUUUAAAACAUAGUCAAUAAACAAAGCUUACGUGGAUAAUCUGAGAACAUUGAUUGAAGUCGCUCAUAGUUUUCCAUGUAUGCCAUCCAUGUUGGAGACCCAACUAGUAUGGCGUGGCACUACAUGUUUUCCUGUUAAAUUUGCCACCAAACGAUUCUAAUCAACAAAUAACCGUCGUACAAAAAGAUGACCCUCCAUAUGCCGUGUAGGUGUAUGAUUAUGUUCAUCACAUUUUACCCUUAGCAUCCAUCAAUCAAAUAUUUUUGAAUACUUUCCUUGCAAUUCAAAUUUACAAUUAGUCUUUCUGCUUCCAGAUGUUCUAAUUGUGUUAAUAGCUUUAUACUCUCCACUAGGAUCACAUGCAAGUAUGACUUUAUACAUGAAUCCGUUCACAUAUGUUUUUGAUAAUUUCGUGAUGAUGACAUAUCAUAGAGAUCGUGUUGUGUUUUGUGUCAAUUCAAACAAUUCCUCACGAGACCUGAACAUCUGAAAUUGAAUUUGAUGUGUUUUAGAAUAUAUUUUUUAUUUCAAAACAUCAUAAUCUAGUAUAAUUAUAUAACCUGAUCGCAAGGAGGCAAAGUUGAUUCCAAACAACUUAAACAUAUCUAUAUACAAAAAUCACGAUAGAUAUGUUGAUAUGAUGUUUCACAAAUACAAAAAACAUAAGAUUUCAUAAAAAAUAACUCAGUAUUUUUUAAAUCAAAAAAAUAAUGUAUUAACAUAAAAAGAUAUUUGCAAUUAUUUAAAUAAAAAAAUGCAGCUCUAAUUAGAAAAUAUGUUCGAUUAUACUUUGUCAAUUGAAGCUUUCACAUGAAGCAAUUAUUUAAACUUCGAACAAAAUAUGUGCACUUAUUUAAACUUCGAACUAAUGGUUAAAAUGAAAUAUUUUUAAACUGAUGGGCUAUAAAUAUAAAAUUCUAAGAUAUAAAAAUCUUACUUUCUCAAAAUCCUAACAACAUAAAUCGGCCGCCAAGAAGAGAGUGACAUACCAGAUGCAAUUUCCGGCGGCAAGAGUCGAAUUCCGACGACUUCUCCGAUUAAAUGGUAGGCUGUUUCAGGCGGCUUCUAGUACUUUUUCAAGUCACUUGAUGAUGUUCAUAGCCACUGGUCCAGCACUUCAUCGGCGGUCUUUCUCGGGGUGUUCCAGUCGUGUUUCUCACGAUCUCUCUCUCUCUCUCUCUCUCUCUCUCUCUCUCUCUCUUUCUUUCUCGUUCUGUCUUUCCGGGGAUCUCUCGUUCAAUACAAUAAUGAAUCAUAAUCAUCAAAAAAAUUGUUCACCACAGGAACCAACGUCAAUCAACAAACUGUCGUCGGCAACAACUAACCGACGGUAACCAAACCACACCGGAGAUAGAAAGGGAGAAAGAGAAAUUGUAAGAAAGACCACUGGAACCACCAUUUACCAUCGUUAAACACCUUUUUACCAUUGUCAACCAUUGUUAACCACCAUUUAACACCCUAUGAAUACCUUAAACCAUCGUGACCAGAUUGAGAAAAGCGAGCUAUUCAUCAUUUACGUCGGAGACAUAACGAUAGAUUGUCGAAAAGACAGAACGAGAAAAAGAGAGAUCGUGAGAAACAUGACUGGAACACCGUGAGAAAGACCGUCGACGAAGCGACAGACCAGUGGACGUUCACGAAGUGUUGGACCAAUGGCUAUGAACGUCAUCAAGUGACGUAAAAAAGUAGGAGAAACUGCCUGAAACAGCCUACCAUUUAAUCGGAGAAGCCGUCAGAAUUCGACUCUUGUUGCCGGAAAUUGCAUAUGGUAUGUUACUCUCUUCUUGACGGUUGAUUUAUGUUGUUAGGGUUUUGAGAAAGUAAGAUUUUUAUAUCUUAGAAUUUUAUAUUUAUAGCCCAUCAAUUAAAAAUAUUUCAUUUUAACCCUUAGUUCGAAGUUUAAAUAAAUGCACAUAUUUUGUUCGAACAUGUUAUCUAAUUAGAGUUGCACUUUUUUAUUUUUUAUUUAAAUAAUUGCAAAUAUUUUUUUUAUGUUAAUACAUUGUAUUUUCAAUUUAAAAAAUAUUGAAUUAUUUUUUAUGAAAGCUUAUGGUUUUUGUAUUUGUGCAACAUUAUAUUAAUAUAUCUAUCGUGAUUUUUGUAUAUAGAUAUGUUAAAGUCGUUUGAAAUCAACUUGUCUGCUUGCGAUCACGUUAUGUAAUUAUAUUCGAUUGUGAUGUUUUGAAAUAAAAAAUAUAUUCUAAAACACAUAAAAUUCAAUUUCAUAUGUUCACGUCUUGGAAUGAAUUGUUUGAAUGGACACAAAACACAACACGAUCUCUAGGAUAUGUCAUUAUCACAAAAAGAUCAAAAGCAUAUGUGAAAGGAUUUGUGUAUAAAGUCAUACUUGCAUGUGAUCGUAGUGGAGAGUAUAAAGCUAUUAACACAAUUAGAGCAUCUGGAAGCAUAAAGAUUAAUUGUAAAUUUGAAUUGCAAUGAAAGUAUUUAAAAGUAUUUGAUCGAUGGAUGCUAAGGGUAAAAUGUGAUGAACAUAAUCAUGCACCUGCACAACAUAUGGAGGGCCAUCUGUUUGUACGACGGUUAUCUGUUGAUGAGAAUCGUUUGGUGGCAAAUUAAACACGAAAGCAUGUAGCGCCACUCCAUACUAGUUGAGUCUCUAACAUGAAUGACAUACACGAAAAACUAUGAACGACUUCAAUCAAUGUUCAUAGAUUAUCCACGUAAGCUUGUUUAUUGACUAUGUUUUAAAUCAAAACCUUCAUAUUACUAUAUAUGUACUUAUUUGUUAAUUUAUUUUACUUAGCAAGUGUUUUGAGAUACGUAGAGGAUAUAUGGUUAAAUAAGUACAAAGAAAUGUUUGUGUCGGUUUGGGUUGAUCAACAUCUAAAUUUUUGAAACCACACAUCUAAUAGAGUUGAGGGUGCACAUUCCAAGUUAAAGAAAUUUUUGGACUUCCCAAAUUGUAAUCUAGAUAUAUUUGUGCAACAGAUUACUUAAAUUGUGCAGUUACAUACAACUUUGAUCAACGAAAGUCUUGAAAACAACAUAUAUUAUCGCUACAAUCACCACAAUUUGAAGUGCUUUCGGUUACUGCGUUGUUUUGUUUCGAACAAAGCUUUAGAUAUAAUAUUAGGAGAGCUUCAAAGGUUGAAUGAUAUAAAUUCAGACUCCUCAGAUUGUGGUUGAAAACUUCGUAAUUGUUGUGGGUUACCAUGUGCUUGCAUACUUUUUGUCUACUCCAAUCCAGGUUCGUACGUUCAACUACCACAUACAGAUAGUUUUUAAAAUGUUAUAUAAAUAAUUAUUUUAUAUUUUAAUGCAGGUGAAGAUAUACCUUUGGAUUCAAUAGAUAUCUUUUGGAGGAAACUUGAUAUUUCAGAUACGACACCUGUAGUAGACGAUAAUAUUUUGUGUGAUGAUAUAGUUGAAAAAAUUAAAGAAAGCUUCAUGAAGCAAUCAAAAGCCGAGAAAAACAACCUUAUAUGAGAAAGCUACAAGAGAUAUAUGAUCCACAAAAAACUAACAUUGGAGAACUUACAUUUCAAAAAAAAAAAAAAAAAAACACUCGUGGACGACGAAAAAAAGAAAGCCAAUCCUCCAAAUCAAGCUCCUAGUAGAUACAAGUUCUCAACCACAUUAAAGUUUGUUGGGUUUGAUUUAAAUAAAGAACCUGACUUAACUGAUGAACCACCGAGCCAUGAUCCAUUCCAAUUGAGAAAUAUUCCAGAUAUAUUUCAUGAUUACAUUGACGAUAUGAUGUAGAAGGUGAUGGAAAUUGUAGGUUUCGAGCGGUAGCCGUUUGUCUGGGUUACAAUGAAGACCAGUGGCUUUAUAAUCGAGGGAUUGGAAAUCCUUGGAGGGUUAGAGGGAUUGGAAAUCCUUCUAAUCUUUGGUGCUGUAAGAGCUUUGUCGAAACAAAGUAGGGGAGAAUCAUUCGGGGAUCUAGAAUUAGAAGUAGUUGUGAAACUAGGAGGAGUUUCGCAUUCCCAUCGGGGAGGAUGGUAGCCCAAGUGAUUGUUUGAAUUAAGGAUUGUGUGGAUGGGAGUUUGGAAAACUUCCCAAUUUUUGGGUUCAUGCCUUCUUGGUGUCGGGUAGCAAGCUUUGGGGAUCCAGUUAUGACUCUAGUUCAGCUUGGGUGUUAGGUCGAGUGUGUGCUUAACUUUGGAUGUCUUCGAAUUGAUAGAUUAGCGGUAAGGCUUUGGGCGACAGUUUGUAAGACUGUGGGGGGCCGUAGCAUUCACUAGUUCGUAGAAAAUGUAGGAGUGUUAUAAGACUGCAUGGUGGCCCAUAGCAUUCACUAGUCCGCAGAUAAUGUAGGCGUGUCAUAAGACUGCGGGGUGGCGCAUAGCAUUCACUAGGGGUUGGUUGUAAGACUGUGGGGUGGCUUGUAGCAUUCACCGGUCCUGUGCAGCGAGAGAGUGUGGCAAAUUUAUGAUUUGCUCACGGUUCUUCGGAUGGUUUGGGCCAGGGUGGGCCAGUUCGUAAGGCCGUGGGUGAGCCACAGUGUAUCCAUAAUCAGGAAAUGGAAGGUCACGGGAGACCAAGUAAGAUGUAAGACUACAGUUGGUCUUGUAGCGUUCAGUUUAGCAUUAGAUUUGGUGACUAGAUGGUUUAGGUAGUUGUUGUCAGCCGGGGUUUUCUUUAGGAAGUCACGUGUGGCGACUGUGGGAGUGUCUUUUGGCUCAACAUUCGGGCGGGAAUUCAGUAUUUUAGAUAGUUGGAAGACAAGUUGGGACCAGGGCGGUCUCGGCUGCUUGUGGGAAGCAACAAGGAGGCAGCGUGGUACUUCGGGCAAUAGUUGUGAUUUGAGGUUUCGUGUGGGAGUAGGGUGACUGGUUGAUUGGGAAAUGCUAAGCCACUCGCAGUGGGAUUAAAUAAUCUCAGAGUAAUUGAAUUGACCUUGUUGCGCAACUCUCGUAUGAGUCUAACCGUUGCAUGGAUGAAUCUUCUACUCGAAGGAUUAUUUGACCCUUCUAUCGAGUAUACGUGUUCUAUAGUUGUAUAAGGUCAGUGACUUUGUUCCUUUUGAAGCAGCAAUGUGAUCGGGGGUUGGAAGAAUUUUGUUUGGUACAAAACUCUAUGAGGUUGGCAUGGUGGCGGUUCGGUGUGGGAGGUCUGACAGGGAGUUAGACCAUUGAGACUUUAGGUUUCAAAUUUUAGGUGAGGUAAGAUUGGUUUUUAUUCAAGAAAUUGAGGAUUCAUUCUCUAUCGGGCUUGAAGAACUAUUCUACGGAUGGUUUUAGUAGAUCUGGAUAGGCCGUUGUAUGAUCAGGGUUGGAAGUGUUAUGUUGGUUUGUUAUUCGUUGAGAGUUUGGCAUGGAGUUGUUUCAGCAUGGGCGGUCUGUCGGGGAGUCAGACCAUUAUAGAUUUCGGGUAAUCAGAAAAGUAGAAGUGGUUCGGUUGUAGGGGAUGAAGGUUUGAUUGCUGUCUUCGGGAUGGAAGUUUUGGUUUAGGUUUCGGUUGUCUUGGGAAGAUAUUCUUAUGCGCAGAAUUUUCGAUAGUGUUCCUCAGGUUUUUUGUUUUGAUAUGAGUGUUAGUAAGGAGCAAUUUCGAGGACGAAAUCUAAUUUAAAUGUACAGAGAGUUGUAACACCCGAAAUAUAAAAGAUUAAUUGUGGAAGAAAAUCCCCUUUCCUAGGGACCAACACGGCGAGUUGAUGGUGGGAAACUCGACGUGUUGGAAGCUUUUGGGAUGCACAUUUUUAUGGACCAACUCGACGAGUUGGUGAAGGGAACUCGGCGAGUUGGACGCUGAUUGAGAAACCCUAAUUUUUAGUGUGCUGCACCCUAUUUAAAGGCCUUAAGUUAUUUGGUUGGCCUCCUUACCAGCCUCCUUUGUCCAGAAACCCUAAAAUCAAGCUUUACCUUUCAUUGUUGAGUGUGAGAGCUUGGGGAGACCCUUGGGUGUUCAUUUUUGGUGCAUGUUGAAGGAGCUAAGGAAUUAGGAGUUGCUUGGCCUGAAUAAGAAGUCUUGGAUCCAGAAUCUCUGUCUCAUUUGCUAAGUUUUUGAGGUAUCAAGUUCUCACAUUGCUUAUUAGUUGCUUAGAUAUCUUCUUGGGUUAGAUUUUAUGCUUUUUAGCCAUAGUUGGGUGGAUGUUGGGGAUUAGGGUGUCCCAAAUGAUUAUUCUUUCAGAUCUAAGGUCUACAUGAGCUCUUUUGGCAUAAAUGUGCCAACUUUAUGGAUUUAAGGACUUCAUGCAUUCAUUAAGUCCCUUAUUAAGCCCUUUUUGAGCUUUUGAGCUCCUCAUAGUCAUGCUUAAGCGUAAAGUUGGAAACUUUACGUGACCAUCUAGCCUUAUGGGGUCAGAUCUGCAUUUUAGGGUUUUGUCUUUGAUGAUUAAGUGUUUAAUGGUUAACCCCUCACUCUUUUAAGUCUAGGGUUUGGACCCAUUUAGGUGGUUCCUAGGGGUAAAGUUUCCAACUUUACCCUUCUUGAUCUCAUUUUGGUCGAGAUCUGAGCUUUGGAGCUCUUGGAUUCGAUGAAGGCAUCUUAAUGCAUUAAAUUGUUGGGUCUUGGGCGAACUCGGCGAGUUUGUUGGUCAACUCGGCGAGCUGACUUGGUUUUCCCCAUUUUAAGUUGAUAGAGAAACUCGGCGAGUUGUUGGUCAACUCAGUGAGUUGGGUCAACAUGGAUUGUUGAUCUUAAUUUUUUUGACUUUUUAUCUUUGAACAAGUUUGUCCCAAGGGGUACUUGAGGUAAUCUGAAUUGUAAGUAAAUGAAUUAUGGGCUUAAGAUAAGGCCCAUAUGGGGAUUGGGCCAAAUUUGGAAAAUUGGGCCAUUUGUGGACUUUUAUGGAUCGAGUAGUUUCUGGCAUUUUGGGCUUGAGUUAUUAAUGGUUCAUCGGGAUACAAAGUGUUUGGACUAGAAAGAUGGUUGGGCCUUAAGGCAAGGCCAUGUAUGGGGUUUGUGCCCAAAUUUGAAAAAUUUGGCCAUUGGUUGAUUAGUGGGCCUUUUAGAUUAUAGUUUGGGUCAUAUAUUUGGACAAGGAUAGGUUAGGGGUAAAAUGGUCUUUUUACCCUAGGUAUGAAGUUGUGGAUAUGGAUUGGAACCUAAUUGUUAAUUGGGUGUUGUUUUGGUCUAUCAGUUUGGAAGUGUCGUCAGGGCAGCAGCUAGGGAUUUCUUUCAGUGUGCUUCAACAUUCGAGGUGAGUCUCCUCACUGCUUUAGUGGUUCAAAGGCACCAAUCCCGGCCCAAGUUUAUAUUAAGUUGUUAGUAUGCUAGGUGUCUUUAUGACUCUUACAUGUGCCUGUGUUUAUAUGUUUUCCGAGCUAAGGCCCGAUGUCGAGUAGGGACUGAUGAAUAUUUGUAUGCUAUGUAUCUAUGUGAUUAUUUCAUGUGUGUGUUAUUUGAUAUAUGUUAUUGCACGUUGGGCGGGCCCGUUUUAUCGAGCUUAACUCGAUGCCGAGCGGGGCCUGAUGCCGGACGGGGUCCAAUGCCGGGCGGGGCCCACUAUAUGUUUAUUGUAUGUUUCUUGUAUGGUAUGUGGUAUUGGGGGAAUUCAUUAAGCUUUGUGCUUAUGGUUUUCAAUUUAUGUUUCAGGUACUUCAGUUUUCAAAUGAAAGAGCUCGGGACGAUCGCAACGCGUGCACCCGUGUUUUCUGCAAUAUGUGAUUUUUGGGAAUGAACUCUGAUAAUUGUUUUAUUUGAAAUGCUUUUCAAUGUUUGGACAAAUAUAAAAUAGAGUUUUGAUUAUAAUAAAAAUGAACUUUUUAUCCUUGAUUUUUGGGAUGUUUCAUACACCUUGCAUAUCAACCCAAACCGCAAAUAAUCUAUAUGUUUGAAAUGUUCUUUUGUAUUUAUAAUUUAUGGUUAUCAUCAUCACAAAGACAACUAGAAACUGUAAGUAAUAUAGUGUAUUUGGGAUGAGAAGGUUUUAUCCUUCAAACAACCAAAACGUAAGAGAACAACCCAGAUCUGAUACUCUUCUUCAAGAAAAAAAAAUGAAACCGUGAAGGAAAAACUAAACUCUCCUGAGAGACGUAAUAAC